GCAAAGGCCCUUCUACAGCUCUUGGACAAAUGGCGUCUUCUUCAUCAUCAUCAUCAGCGUCGUCGUCAGCUCUGAAAAGACUAUCGAAUCUCAGCAACCAUCUUCGCCCAACGAACUCAAACGCUUUAGUCAAAGUAUCUGCAGAAGUCUCUGAGGCUUUGUCAAGUGGCCACCCUGUUGUUGCUCUUGAGUCCACCAUCAUUGCCCAUGGAAUGCCAUAUCCUCAGAAUUUUGAAACAGCCAAGGAGGUGGAGGCGAUUGUGAGGGAAAAUGGAGCUGUUCCUGCUACCAUUGCUAUUCUUGAUGGCAUACCGUGCGUAGGUUUGAAUUUGGAACAACUGGAAAGGCUUGCCCAACUGGGAAAAAGUGUUCAAAAGACAGCUCGGAGGGACAUUGCACAUGUUGUGGCCACCAAGAGGAAUGGUGCAACCACUGUUUCUUCAACCAUGUUUUUUGCUGCCAUGCACUCGCAGGUUGGUAUCCCUGUUUUUGUUACUGGGGGAAUUGGGGGAGUUCAUAGACAUGGCGAGCAUACUAUGGAUAUAUCCUCUGAUCUCACAGAGCUUGGAAGGACACCAGUAGCAGUCAUCUCUGCUGGUGUAAAAUCGAUAUUAGAUAUUCCGAGGACACUGGAAUAUUUGGAAACUCAGGGAGUUUGUGUUGGUGCUUAUAAGACCUAUGAGUUUCCAGCUUUUUUCACUGAAAGAAGUGGCUGCAAGGUACCUUGUCGUGUGGAUAGCCCAGAAGACUGUGCACGGUUAAUUGAUGCUAACCGGAAACUUCAUCUCGGAAAUGGAGUACUAAUUGCGGUUCCCAUCCCAAAAGAACACUCAGCUUCUGGAAGCUUAAUAGAGUCUGCGAUACAACGUGCCCUUACAGAAGCUAGAGAAAAGAACGUAACAGGGAAUGCUGAGACUCCUUUCUUGCUUGCAAGAGUUAGUGAAUUAACUGGAGGAGCAUCACUUGCUUCAAACAUUGCACUUGUAAAAAACAAUGCUGCUGUUGGUGCUAAGAUAUCUGUAGCCCUGGCCCAGCUCACAUAACACCAUAUACAGGGAAUAGACACUUGGGCUCCAGGACAUGAUAUAAAGAAGUUUUAUAGUGCUAACAAACUAACAGAAUCUUGGAACCAUUUCAAUUAUACCAGCUGAUAUGAAGUCCAAUGUUUUCUGAUCCUGCAACCGGUCAUCAGCUAGUUGGAUUUUGUUGCUUACAAUGUUGUGCGUUCUUUUGUUUUGGACUCAUGGUCAAUUGGAAUAGUACUGAAAACGAAUAGGAGUCUUAUGUACAUUUUUUGCUCCUCAGAUUGUGGUCAGUAGUGUAAUCACCGUUAGUUGUUUUAUUGGAAGCAUUUGUUGUAUUAGAGUUGCACUUUGAAGAGCAGAGUUUGUCAGAAGGGGCAAAUGACUUUGACUGUGGUGAUAAGCCUGUUGACCUUGUUGCAAUUUUAAUUUCAUAAAAAUCUUCUCCGGUUUUA
Theobroma umbraticum is the source of this 1477-nucleotide RNA transcript. It is a transcript of the gene named indigoidine synthase A family protein, with no coding region annotated. NCBI's taxonomy places the organism in Eukaryota, Viridiplantae, Streptophyta, Magnoliopsida, Malvales, Malvaceae. The record is from RefSeq and is a predicted model, not a curated record.